CCUACGGGGGGCUGCAGUGGGGAAUAUUGGACAAUGGGGGGAACCCUGAUCCAGCCAUGCCGCGUGUGUGAAGAAGGCCCUCGGGUUGUAAAGCACUUUCAGUGAGGAAUAACGCCUGGUGGUUAAUACCCAUCAGGAAAGACAUCACUCACAGAAGAAGCACCGGCUAACUCCGUGCCAGCAGCCGCGGUAAUACGGAGGGUGCGAGCGUUAAUCGGAAUUACUGGGCGUAAAGCGCGCGUAGGUGGCUUGAUAAGCCGGUUGUGAAAGCCCCGGGCUCAACCUGGGAACGGCAUCCGGAACUGUCAAGCUAGAGUGCAGGAGAGGAAGGUAGAAUUCCCGGUGUAGCGGUGAAAUGCGUAGAGAUCGGGAGGAAUACCAGUGGCGAAGGCGGCCUUCUGGACUGACACUGACACUGAGGUGCGAAAGCGUGGGUAGCAAACAGGAUUAGAUACCCUUGUAGUC
Molecule: ribosomal RNA, 465 nt
Filed under: Vreelandella stevensii
Lineage: Bacteria; Pseudomonadati; Pseudomonadota; Gammaproteobacteria; Oceanospirillales; Halomonadaceae
Description: partial 16S ribosomal RNA
Rfam family: Bacterial small subunit ribosomal RNA
Source: RNAcentral